AACGAACGCUGGCGGCAUGCCUAACACAUGCAAGUCGAACGAAGUCUUCGGACUUAGUGGCGCACGGGUGCGUAACGCGUGGGAAUCUGCCCUUGGGUGCGGAAUAACUUCUCGAAAGGGAUGCUAAUACCGCAUAAUGUCGUAAGACCAAAGAUUUAUCGCCCAAGGAUGAGCCCGCGUAAGAUUAGCUAGUUGGUGGGGUAAAAGCCUACCAAGGCGACGAUCUUUAGCUGGUCUGAGAGGAUGAUCAGCCACACUGGGACUGAGACACGGCCCAGACUCCUACGGGAGGCAGCAGUGGGGAAUAUUGGACAAUGGGCGAAAGCCUGAUCCAGCAAUGCCGCGUGAGUGAUGAAGGCCCUAGGGUUGUAAAGCUCUUUUACCCGAGAUGAUAAUGACAG
RNAcentral lists this ribosomal RNA (401 nucleotides) under uncultured bacterium. Its description in RNAcentral is "bacterial SSU rRNA". It matches the Rfam family "Bacterial small subunit ribosomal RNA", at positions 29 to 457 of the family's 1533-position model. The record is from RNAcentral.